CGGACGGGUGAGUAACGCGUGGAUAACCUGCCGUAUGCAGGGGGAUAACAGUUGGAAACAGCUGCUAAUACCGCAUAAGCGCACAAUACCGCAUGGUACGGUGUGAAAAGAUUUAUCGGCAUACGAUGGAUCCGCGUCCGAUUAGCCAGUUGGCGGGGUAACGGCCCACCAAAGCGACGAUCGGUAGCCGGCCUGAGAGGGCGGACGGCCACAUUGGGACUGAGACACGGCCCAA
This 235-nucleotide ribosomal RNA is filed under the name uncultured Bacillota bacterium. Its description in RNAcentral is "uncultured Firmicutes bacterium partial 16S ribosomal RNA". It matches the Rfam family "Bacterial small subunit ribosomal RNA", at positions 99 to 334 of the family's 1533-position model. Lineage: Bacteria; Bacillati; Bacillota. The record is from RNAcentral.